Mugil cephalus (flathead mullet) is the source of this 375-nucleotide non-coding RNA. NCBI's taxonomy places the organism in Eukaryota, Metazoa, Chordata, Actinopteri, Mugiliformes, Mugilidae. The record is from the annotation of a RefSeq genome assembly.
AUGACUUUGAUCUGCGUCCUCAUCUGGACUCUCCUCUGCUGCUGCUUCACAGAGUCCAGAGGCCAGGUCACAGUGACUCAGCCUGGAUCAGUGAGGUCUAGUCUGGGAGGAACCGUCAACAUCAACUGUAGAACCAGUCAGAGGGUUUAUGGUGGCAACGAUUUAGCCUGGUACCAACAGAGAGAUGGAGGAGUUCCUAAACUUUUCAUUUACUAUGCUAGCAAUAGAGCAUCAGGGAUUCCAGGUCGUUUUACAGGCAGUGGAUCAAACUCUGACUUCACUCUGACCAUCAGUGGAGUCCAGACUGAAGAUGUAGCAGUUUAUUACUGUCAGAGUUUUCAUGUCAUCAACAGUCAGUAUGUGUUCACACAGUGA